GGAGAAGAGCUCUCUCAGGCAUAUGCCAGUGGGGAUGUUUUCGUGAUGCCUUCAGAAUCUGAGACUCUUGGUCUUGUUGUCUUGGAGGCCAUGUCUUCAGGGAUACCUGUGGUGGGAGUUCGUGCUGGGGGAAUCCCAGAUAUAAUUCCUCCAGACCAGGAGGGCAAAACUGGCUUUCUCUUUAAUCCUGGAGAUAUUGAUGAUUGCUUGGGGAAAUUAGAACCAUUGUUGAACAACCGUGAACUCAGAGAAACCAUUGGUAAAGCAGCACGUGAAGAAAUGGAGAAGUAUGACUGGAAGGCAGCAACAAGAAAAAUACGAAAUGAACAAUACAAUGC
RNAcentral lists this unclassified non-coding RNA (338 nucleotides) under Hevea brasiliensis (rubber tree). The record is from RNAcentral. Lineage: Eukaryota; Viridiplantae; Streptophyta; Magnoliopsida; Malpighiales; Euphorbiaceae.